GGUUCUUAGAUCGUACAAUCCUACUUGGAUAACUGUGGUAAUUCUAGAGCUAAUACAUGCAACACAGCUCCGACCUUGCGGGAAGAGAGCUUUUAUUUGAUCAAAACCAAUCGGUCGCAAGGCCGUCUUCUUGGUGAAUCUGGAUAACUUUGUGCUGAUCGCACGGGCUUGCCCCGGCGACGUAUCUUUCAAAUGUCUGCCCUAUCAACUUUCGAUGGUACGUGAUAUGCCUACCAUGGUUGUAACGGGUAACGAA
Molecule: ribosomal RNA, 256 nt
Filed under: Pinna nobilis
Lineage: Eukaryota; Metazoa; Mollusca; Bivalvia; Pterioida; Pinnidae
Description: partial 18S ribosomal RNA
Rfam family: Eukaryotic small subunit ribosomal RNA
Source: RNAcentral